CAUGCCCCUUAUACGCUGGGCUACACACGUGCUACAAUGGGUAGUACAGAGAGUUGCAAAGCCGUGAGGUGAAGCUAAUCUCAGAAAACUAUUCUUAGUUCGGAUUGUACUCUGCAACUCGAGUACAUGAAGUUGGAAUCGCUAGUAAUCGCGAAUCAGCAAUGUCGCGGUGAAUACGUUCUCGGGUCUUGUACACACCGCCCGUCACACCACGAGAGUUGGUUGCACCUGAAGUAGCAGGCCUAACCGUAAGGAGGGAUGCUCCGAGGGUGUGAUUAGCGAUUGGGGUGAAGUCGUAACAAGGUAUCCGUACGGGAACGUGCGGAUGGAUCACCUCCUUUCUAAGGAGAGCAAGUCUUUCUCUAUUCUAUUGGUAAUGUUCUUACAUUACUUCUGAACAUUGGAAACUAUAUAGUAGAACAAACAAGAAAAAAAUUAACUCUAACAAUUUCUUAGAGUUAGCUGUCAAAAAAUAGAUUAAAAUAAUUAAGGGCACACAAAGGAUGCCUAGGUAGUAAGAGCCGAUGAAGGACGUGGUAAGCUGCGAUAAGCCUAG
RNAcentral lists this small RNA (556 nucleotides) under uncultured Fusobacterium sp. Its description in RNAcentral is "bacterial SSU rRNA". The stretch from base 1 to 341 matches the Rfam family "Bacterial small subunit ribosomal RNA", at positions 1194 to 1533 of the family's 1533-position model. Lineage: Bacteria; Fusobacteriati; Fusobacteriota; Fusobacteriia; Fusobacteriales; Fusobacteriaceae. The record is from RNAcentral.